CUAUCGGAUCGUUUUAGAAACAUUCAGGGGCCAACAGAUCGCCAGAUCGUUGAGCUCCAUUGGCGGGAUUUCGCCGUCUUCGUUUCUCUUUCUUCGCGGACGAACACGCGCCAGGGGCUGCGCUGUGCGAUUGCGUUGGCGCUUGCCGGCGCUCGCAUGCGAGCAAGAUCCCUUAGUCCUUCAAUGGAUAUGCGUUAGGGGCUUGUAGCUCAGUUGGUUAGAGCGCGCGCUUGAUAAGCGUGAGGUCGGAAGUUCAAGUCUUCCCAGGCCCACCACUUUCAUCGAGUGUAAGCAUUCGUCUUCUGGUUACGGGGCCAUAGCUCAGCUGGGAGAGCGCGUGCUUUGCAAGCAUGAGGUCGUCGGUUCGAUCCCGUCUGGCUCCACCAGAUGGCUUGAUCGCCAACGCUCCGAUUGCAGGUAUUCAACCGUCGUCCGCGAAACAUCGCUUCGCACCCACUAGUCCGGAUGGACAGUGACGUGCGUGAUUUCUGACAUCGUAAAGAGGAGAUCGAUCCGAGUUGGAUCGUGCAGCAAAUUGUUGCGCGAGCCUUCAUUAUCUCCGGAUCAUUUCGGCGCUCGCUUUCGGCCGUGAGGUUGAUUGCGGGUUGUAAAUGAUCCUUUUAGCGAAGCUUGACCGCCUCGCUAUCGGAACGAUCUUACGAAGCAAGCUGGUCUUUCUAGUCAAUGUCCGGCUGCACAUAGCGUUCAUCGAGGGCGCGUGCCGCAAGGCAAUUGUGCAGACAACAUUCUGCCGAGUGUGUGGACAUUGAUAAUGAGAGCAAUCAAGUGCCUUAAGGGUGUUCGGUGGAUGCCUUGGCGCUGAGAGGCGAUGAAGGACGUGCUACGCUGCGAUAAGCCGUGGGGAGCUGCGAAGAAGCUUUGAUCCGCGGAU
Molecule: unclassified non-coding RNA, 892 nt
Filed under: Bradyrhizobium sp. 31-1-1
Lineage: Bacteria; Pseudomonadati; Pseudomonadota; Alphaproteobacteria; Hyphomicrobiales; Nitrobacteraceae
Description: partial 16S-23S ribosomal RNA intergenic spacer
Rfam family: Bacterial large subunit ribosomal RNA (bases 781-892)
Source: RNAcentral